This 920-nucleotide long non-coding RNA is filed under the name Ananas comosus (pineapple). RNAcentral describes it as "long non-coding RNA (ACOM_LNC026290)". Lineage: Eukaryota; Viridiplantae; Streptophyta; Magnoliopsida; Poales; Bromeliaceae. The record is from RNAcentral.
AAAUUUAUAGAAGAUGGACUUAUUGUUGGAAAUCUGGGAUUUAUACUGAUAUCAGAUUUUGAGAAUCUAGAAUUCGUUUUAAUAUUAAGGGUCUGUUUGGUUAGAUGUAAUUAUAAAUGCAGUAAAGUUAGAGAUACAUGCUAUUGAAAAUGCGGUAGUUACAACUACAUACAUCCUGUUUGGUUAGAUGUAGUAGAAAACGCUGCAAGUAUAAAUAAUUUAUUUGGUUGCAUGCAGUUGAAAAACAAUGUUUUAAAUUUUAUCAUUAUGUACAUAUGAUAGUGAGAUUACAUCCAAUGUAAAAAGAAAAAAAAAAAAAAAAUGUUUAAAAAAUAAUUGAGUAGGUAAGCAUACCUUUUGUUUAAAGUUUAAUUAAGAAGGUAAGCAUAUAUUUUGUUUAAAGUUACUCUCUUCAACUGCUGCAGUUGGAACUGUGGCCAAUUUGGGCGUAGUUUGAACUGCUGCAGUUGGGCCCUCUCCUGCAGUUCCUACUGCAGCAGUUAAAGUUAAAUACAUCAAAACCAAACACCGAAUUUGCAUUUACAUGUAGUUAUAACUGCAGUGCAGUUGCAACUAUAUGCAACCAAACGGCCCCUAAGAGCUGGAAAUUCAAUAGUACCGAUAGUUGGGAUUCUGCAAUGAGAACGUCAAAACUGAUUUUUAAAAUAAAUGGUAAAUCAUUCACAUUAUUUUUCUUAAUUGAAAUACGAUGGAUCAUUUAUCGUUUUUAAAAUAUAAAAAAAAGACGGUGAAUGAUUAAUCGUCUUCUAAAUUAUAUUAAAGGCGGUAAAUGACUGUUCAUCAUCUUCAAAUUAUUUUUCCAACUAAAUAUUGAGUUUGGACAAAAUAGAGUUAUUUAAGCAAAUAAUUUUUUUACAAAGUUAUUUGGCCAAUUAUAAAUUUUUAAAUGGUUAAUUAAA